Molecule: unclassified non-coding RNA, 3488 nt
Filed under: Stegodyphus dumicola
Lineage: Eukaryota; Metazoa; Arthropoda; Arachnida; Araneae; Eresidae
Description: phospholipid scramblase 2-like, transcript variant X2
Source: RNAcentral
UAAUGUAAACAAAGUAACCAAAUGUUUUAUUAAUUGGUUGGUGCAAUGACAUUAUACGAGUUAAUGUUAAAUAUUAAGUAAAUGACGCUUUAAUUUCCUGUUUAGCUGUAAGUUUAGAAAGGGAGAUAUUAUUUGAAACAGUUAGCUUUUGGUCUGUUCUAGAAUUUCAUAGUUAAAAAAUUGUGCUAAUAUGGGUGAAAUGGCAAAUUAUCCUCCAGUUACUCCAAAUGCUCCUCCCCCAGGUUUAAAUCCUGCUUAUUAUCCUGGUGCUCCAGAUGUAAAUUAUCAGCCUGGUUAUCCCCCAAAUGCUGCACCUUAUCCACCUGGAGGACAGGGCUAUCCUCCAGCUAAUCAAGGAUAUCCACCUUCUAGUGGCUAUCCUGCACCUGCAUCUGGAUAUCCAGCACCUAUGGGUGAAGGUUAUCCUCCUGCAGGUGGAUAUGCUGCACCAGGUGGUUAUCCUCAACCGCCUGCCAUGACACAACAGCCUACUGCUGGAGGUUAUCCUCCAUCAUCUGGAUACCCAGCUCCUCAACCAGGAAUGCAACCUCCUGUGGAAGGAAACUGGAUGCCUGUGCCUACAGGAAUUCCUGUUUGCCCCCCUGGAUUAGAAUACUUAACUAUGAUAGAUCAGCUUUUGGUUCAUCAAAAAGUGGAGCUUCUGGAAGCAUUGUUAAGUUUUGAAACAAAAAACAAGUACACCAUAAAGAACAGCAUGGGUCAAAAGGUAUAUACAGCUAAAGAAGAUACUGAUUGCUGCACUCGAAAUUGUUUGGGAUCAGCUCGUCCUUUUGAUAUGAAAUUAAAGGACAUGAGUGGCAAUGAAGUUAUUCAUCUAUAUAGACCACUACGAUGUUCCAGUUGCCUCUGCUUUUGCUGUCUGCAGAAAAUGGAAGUAAUGGCCCCUCCAGGCAAUGUCAUAGGUUAUGUUGAACAAGAGUGGAGUAUUCUUACUCCACAAUUUAGAAUUCAAAAUGCUGCAGGAGAAACUGUUUUAAAAAUUGAAGGUCCUAUCUGCACUUUUUCCAUCUGUGGGGAUGUGGAAUUUAAAGUCCUUUCCAAAGAUGGUAGCGUUGAAGUUGGAAAAAUUUCCAAGCAAUGGUCAGGAUUACUGAGAGAAUAUUUCACUGAUGCCGAUCAUUUUGGUAUCACUUUUCCUCUAGAUUUAGAUGUAAAUAUAAAAGCAGUUUUACUUGGAGCUCUUUUCCUCAUUGAUUAUAUGUUCUUUGAGAAAGAAGGAAACAAAGAAAAUGAUAUGCCAGGCAUGCUGUGAAAAUAUUUUUUUUUGUUAAAAAGUGCAUUUUUGAUCCUAUAAAUAUGAAGUGCUACUAAAUAGCACUCCUUAUUAUAUCCAUUUAAAUUGUGUAACAUAUUCUAAACUCUUCUAAUAGUUUAAAUUUAUGCAAAUGUAAGUAUUCUUUUGCAAAUAAUUUUAAAAAAGCAUUUUUCAUUUGCACUUUAUAAGAAAUAAUAUUUUAUAUAAAAAGAGGUUUAAAAUAAGUUUCUGUAUCUUUUACUAGAAUGAAUAAUAUUUUGCUUGAAGAGAUUUUAAGUGUAUUAAUUCAUGUGCUUGUGUAUUAAGUGUAUUCAUUUUUGUGCCUAUUCAUUGUUUGAAAACUAUUUUGUUUGCAUAUUAUGUGGCUGUAUUGUUGUAUACUGUAAUAUUGCAUCUAAAAUAAUAUUCUUAAUUCAGUAAGCAAAGUGUUUAGACAGUUGUUAUGAAUUUUUAUAAAGUAUGCUAUAAUAGCAGCUAUGGACAUUAUCAAUUAAUUUUAAUAUUUUGUUUUAGUUAAAAACUGUAUUGCACUAACUGAAAUAAUUUAUUAAAUUGGUAUAUUAAAAAUUGAUAAUUGAAGUGUUUUUAAAAAAGUUUUUGUUGUUUUGCCCACAAUCCUUUGAGCUGCCAGGCUUCUUCGAAUCUACUUAUGAAGAGCUGUAUUUGCAUAGUUUUUGCAUACACUGCAAACUGUCUUGUGAAAUUAUAGUAUCAGAUUUUGGAAUGUGCAUAGUAUGUAUUAUAUGUAUGAUUUAUUUUGACUCUGCAUUUUUUUCUUUCAUUUAAUUUAACUGUGAUAUGUUUUUCCUGUUACUUUUACUAUUUUCUUUGUCUUGCAUAGUAUCACUCUACAUAAAAUCCUUAUUACUGGAAUUUGGCAAGUAUAUGGUGUGUUAUAUAUAAUAUAUAUAUAUAUAUAUAUUUUAUAUAUGUGAAUUUCUUUACUGCUAAAGAACAGUUUCAAAGUACAUAGAUUUUGCGUUAAUUCCUUUCACCGGAGAGAGAUUAAUUUUUUAAAAUGGUCAUAAAGGUAUUUUACUAUUAAUGUAUCACACUUUUACUAUUUUACAUCUUUCACACUUGUGAUAAUUAUUUCUCUUCUAAUAUAUGUGAGAUUUUCGUAGUUAAGAUGUAGUUUAAUUAUAUCAAUACUUUUAUUUUUGAAAUUGAUGCUGAUGACUAAAUGUUGAUGCCUGACAAUGUUUCUGUUAUGAAAGUCUAAACAGAUGAUUAGGCUUUAACUUCAUUGUUGGUGAGUUUUAUUUAAUUUUUAAUAAAUUCCUAUUAUACACUGUGUUCAUUUAUUUAGAGUUUAUGAGCUAAAGCAGCGGUUCUCAAACUUUUGAUUAAAGCGUACCAUCUAAGCAAAAAUUGAAAAACUUUAGUACCACCACUACAAAGUACUACUACCACCAUUACUCUUGAAUAAAGCUCAGAUCGUAAAAACUUACUAGUGUUAGAGAAAAACCUCAAUCAGUAUGUUGGGGUUUUAAUUUUUGAAUUUAAUAAUUAAAAAUACUUUGCUUCUUUGCAUACCACCUAUAAGUCUCUUGCAUACCACCAGUGGUACAUGUACGACCAGUUGAGAACCUCUGAUCUAAAGUAUAGUUAUAAAUAAAUAUAACAGUUAAGGAAAAAAGACUAUGUACAUAUAUUUUUUAGGAAAAAAAAAUGUUAUUAUAAGAAAAAUGUGGUUUGUACCUUUUUUGGUUUUCAUUAAUUCUUAAAUAAUUAUAUAAAGAAUCUUCUAAUUUAAUUACAUGUAUUAUUUUCUAGUUUCAUCAGUGUUUGAAAAGAUGUUUAUUUUAAUUUCACAAGAAUGACAACAAAAGUUUGCUUCUAGAUAUAGUUGUUUAUGCUACUUUAAUGAAUCGUAAUCAUCUUUCACUGCAUAAGUGACUAUUGCUCUUUCAUCACAAUUUAUUAAUUGUUAGCAUUAUUAUAUGUGAUUACUUGUGACUUGUAUUAACAUAUGAUUUGUAUGAAGUUUUGCUUAUGGCUAUAUAUUCCUAAUUUGUGCAUUAUUUUCCUUUCCUGUAAUUGAAUAUUUCACUCAAAGUUUUAUUUUUCAGUAUGCUUUUGUUAUAUUACAAAUGUGGCAUUUUAAAUGCUUAUUAAUAUUUCAUGUUAAAGUGAUAUAUUUCAAAUGCAUUUUGUAAAAAUAUCCAUGCAAUGUUUUAAAUUUAAAGAAAUAAAUUAUAUACUUCCUGUG